UACGGAGGGUGCAAGCGUUGUUCGGAAUUAUUGGGCGUAAAGCGCGUGUAGGCGGUUCGUUAAGUCUGAUGUGAAAGCCCUGGGCUUAACCUGGGAGGUGCAUUGGAAACUGGGAGACUUGAGUACGGGAGAGGAGAGUGGAGUUCCUAGUGUAGGAGUGAAAUCCGUAGAUAUUAGGAGGAACACCGGUGGCGAAGGCGGCUCUCUGGACCGAUACUGACGCUGAGACGCGAAAGCGUGGGUAGCAAACAGGAUUAGAAACCCGU
Molecule: ribosomal RNA, 266 nt
Filed under: uncultured bacterium
Lineage: Bacteria
Description: partial 16S ribosomal RNA
Rfam family: Bacterial small subunit ribosomal RNA
Source: RNAcentral